This 500-nucleotide ribosomal RNA is filed under the name uncultured bacterium. RNAcentral's name for it is "partial 16S ribosomal RNA". It matches the Rfam family "Bacterial small subunit ribosomal RNA", at positions 29 to 523 of the family's 1533-position model. The record is from RNAcentral.
AUUGAACGCUGGCGGCAUGCCUUACACAUGCAAGUCGAACGGCAGCGCGGACUUCGGUCUGGCGGCGAGUGGCGAACGGGUGAGUAAUACAUCGGAACGUACCCUGUUGUGGGGGAUAACUAGUCGCAAGAUUAGCUAAUACCGCAUACGACCUGAGGGUGAAAGUGGGGGACCGCAAGGCCUCACGCAGCAGGAGCGGCCGAUGUCUGAUUAGCUAGUUGGGGGGGUAAAGGCCCACCAAGGCGACGAUCAGUAGCUGGUCUGAGAGGACGAUCAGCCACACUGGGACUGAGACACGGCCCAGACUCCUACGGGAGGCAGCAGUGGGGAAUUUUGGACAAUGGGGGCAACCCUGAUCCAGCAAUGCCGCGUGUGUGAAGAAGGCCUUCGGGUUGUAAAGCACUUUUGUCCGGAAAGAAAUCGCGCUGGUUAAUACCUGGCGUGGAUGACGGUACCGGAAGAAUAAGCACCGGCUAACUACGUGCCAGCAGCCGCCGCCG